UGCCCUCCAAAAUUCAUGUCUACCUGGAACCUCAGAAUCUGACCUUAUUAAUAAAUAGGGUCUUUGCAUGUGUAAUUAUAAGAUCAAGUCAUA
Non-coding RNA from Ceratotherium simum simum (southern white rhinoceros), 93 nucleotides. The record is from RefSeq and is a predicted model, not a curated record. NCBI's taxonomy places the organism in Eukaryota, Metazoa, Chordata, Mammalia, Perissodactyla, Rhinocerotidae.